This is a non-coding RNA of Pantherophis guttatus, 268 nucleotides long. NCBI's taxonomy places the organism in Eukaryota, Metazoa, Chordata, Lepidosauria, Squamata, Colubridae. The record is from RefSeq and is a predicted model, not a curated record.
AGAAAGAGAAGCUUUGAGUAACUGCUUAGGCCUUCCUUAGGAGACCGCCCCGCUAUCUGAUAUUGAAGAGCGGCAAAAUGUUGCAUUACAUAUCCAUUGCUGAAGAUGACUCAGACACUAGGAACAAGGUUGGUAAAAUGAGGACCCAGAUUGUUGGGGACCAUAUGCUGAGAGGGCUGGAAAGCACUGGAAAGCGAUAUAGUAUAUAAGUCUAAAUGCUAUUGCUAUUUAUGUAUAAAAUUUCAUUAUUGCCCAACUCACAGACAGA